RNAcentral lists this ribosomal RNA (525 nucleotides) under uncultured bacterium. RNAcentral describes it as "bacterial SSU rRNA". It matches the Rfam family "Bacterial small subunit ribosomal RNA", at positions 66 to 582 of the family's 1533-position model. The record is from RNAcentral.
ACGGCAGCACGGAGAGCUUGCUCUCUGGUGGCGAGUGGCGAACGGGUGAGUAAUAUAUCGGAACGUAUCCAAUAAUGGGGUAUAACGAGUCGAAAGAUUCGCUAAUACCGCAUACGCCCUACGGGAGAAAGCAGGGGAUCGUAAGACCUUGCGUUAAUGGAGCGGCCGAUAUCUGAUUAGCUUGUUGGUGAGGUAAAGGCUCACCAAGGCGACGAUCAGUAGCUGGUUUGAGAGAACGACCAGCCACACUGGAACUGAGACACGGUCCAGACUCCUACGGGAGGCAGCAGUGGGGAAUUUUGGACAAUGGGGGCAACCCUGAUCCAGCCAUUCCGCGUGAGUGAAGAAGGCCUUCGGGUUGUAAAGUUCUUUCGCAAGGGAAGAAAACUUAUGAUUGAAUAAAUCAUGAGGUUGACGGUACCUUAAUAAGAAGCACCGGCUAACUACGUGCCAGCAGCCGCGGUAAUACGUAGGGUGCGAGCGUUAAUCGGAAUUACUGGGCGUAAAGCGUGCGCAGGCGGUUUU